AUAACGAAAUACUUCGAAAUACGCUGUUUUCCAGCCCAAAACUUUCCUACCCAUUAAAAAAUAAUAAACAAUACUUACGUGCAAAGUUUCCGAACAUACGAUAAAAUCACAUGUAUAAACAGAACAUGUAUAUAUUAGCGAUCACUGCACUCUAUGCAGUUGUAGCUACGUGUUGUGAGUAUAUUGUAGUUAUACUAUCUGUUGUACAUUUCUUUUCCCACGUUUUUUGAUCGGAACCAAGAUGCCUUGCGGAGGAUGUGGCGAUGGUUGCAAAUGCACCACAACACAGUGCUGCCAGACUUGCAAAUGCGAUAAGUCCUGUUCCUGUAACUGUAAGCGGUCCACCGACGCUUCUACAGCCACCACGAAGAAGUAGAAACAACAAUAAAACAAUUUAUAAUUAAAUUUAUCAUUUCAUUAUGUAAUUAAAAUUACAAUUGAUUCAUAUCCUGCAGGUGUUAACUUCCAUGUAAAGAUGUUUUUACACGGCAAUUCAUUUUGUUAUUACGUAACUUCGUAAGUAUACAGUAUUUAAGUUAUUUACACAUCGAAUAAAUGUAUCAGUUAAAUUCUUGUUAA
Molecule: long non-coding RNA, 579 nt
Organism: Colias croceus (clouded yellow)
Lineage: Eukaryota; Metazoa; Arthropoda; Insecta; Lepidoptera; Pieridae
Exons: 2
Source: RefSeq, a predicted model, not a curated record